GAUCAUGGCUCAGGAUGAACGCUGGCGGCGUGCUUAACACAUGCAAGUCGAACGAAGCACUUAUCUUUGAUUCUUCGGAUGAAGAGGUUUGUGACUGAGUGGCGGACGGGUGAGUAACGCGUGGGUAACCUGCCUCAUACAGGGGGAUAACAGUUGGAAACGACUGCUAAUACCGCAUAAGCGCACAGGAUCGCAUGAUCCGGUGUGAAAAACUCCGGUGGU
Molecule: ribosomal RNA, 222 nt
Filed under: uncultured bacterium
Lineage: Bacteria
Description: partial 16S ribosomal RNA
Rfam family: Bacterial small subunit ribosomal RNA
Source: RNAcentral